This 253-nucleotide ribosomal RNA is filed under the name uncultured bacterium. Its description in RNAcentral is "partial 16S ribosomal RNA". It matches the Rfam family "Bacterial small subunit ribosomal RNA", at positions 524 to 776 of the family's 1533-position model. The record is from RNAcentral.
GACGGAGGAUGCAAGCGUUAUCCGGAAUGAUUGGGCGUAAAGCGUCCGCAGGUGGCAGUUCAAGUCUGCUGUCAAAGACCGGGGCUUAACUUCGGAAAGGCAGUGGAAACUGAACAGCUAGAGUAUGGUAGGGGCAAAGGGAAUUCCUGGUGUAGCGGUGAAAUGCGUAGAGAUCAGGAAGAACAUCGGUGGCGAAGGCGCUUUGCUGGACCAUAACUGACACUCAGGGACGAAAGCUAGGGGAGCGAAUGGG